AUUGAACGCUGGCGGCAUGCUUUACACAUGCAAGUCGAACGGUAACAGGCCUUCGGGUGCUGACGAGUGGCGCACGGGUGAGUAAUGCAUCGGAACGUACCCAGAGGUGGGGGAUAACGCAGCGAAAGCUGUGCUAAUACCGCAUGUGAUCUGAGGAUGAAAGCGGGGGACCGAGCAGCAAUGUUUGGCCUCGCGCCUUUGGAGCGGCCGAUGUCGGAUUAGCUAGUUGGUGGGGUAAAGGCCUACCAAGGCGACGAUCCGUAGCUGGUCUGAGAGGACGACCAGCCACACUGGGACUGAGACACGGCCCAGACUCCUACAGGAGGCAGCAGUGGGGAAUUUUGGACAAUGGGCGCAAGCCUGAUCCAGCAAUGCCGCGUGCGGGAAGAAGGCCUUCGGGUUGUAAACCGCUUUUGGCAGGAACGAAACGGUGUCCGCUAAUACCGGGCGCUAAUGACGGUACCUGCAGAAUAAGCACCGGCUAACUACGUG
RNAcentral lists this ribosomal RNA (492 nucleotides) under uncultured bacterium. RNAcentral's name for it is "partial 16S ribosomal RNA". It matches the Rfam family "Bacterial small subunit ribosomal RNA", at positions 29 to 507 of the family's 1533-position model. The record is from RNAcentral.